Diceros bicornis minor is the source of this 361-nucleotide long non-coding RNA. RefSeq lists it as uncharacterized. The transcript is spliced from 4 exons. NCBI's taxonomy places the organism in Eukaryota, Metazoa, Chordata, Mammalia, Perissodactyla, Rhinocerotidae. The record is from RefSeq and is a predicted model, not a curated record.
AUCAAGCGGCUGAAGGCAGAGGAUAAUGCACAAUGAAGUAAACGAGACAGAGAGCAUCCAGGAAAACAUAGCCAUGGAGGGCAUGAUUGUCGAAGGCUGUGAGACCCUCCUGGACACCAGCCAGACUUUUGUGAGAUGGGGCAUGGCACCCUGCCUCCCCCCAACAUCAAGUGAUAUUGACCUUUCCCUGAAGAGGCAGGAAUGAGAAAAUAAGACGAGAAGACCCUAUGGAGCUUCAAUUAAUUAAAAAAAAAACCAAAGCAUUCCUUACACUAAUUGAAUGAAAAGUAUUAGUUUAUAUAUGACUCUGUAAAGGACCACAUCAUUGGCCCCAUGAUCUGUGGAGACACCAGUAUUUACA